RNAcentral lists this long non-coding RNA (457 nucleotides) under Triticum aestivum (bread wheat). RNAcentral's name for it is "long non-coding RNA (TAES_LNC013495)". The record is from RNAcentral. Lineage: Eukaryota; Viridiplantae; Streptophyta; Magnoliopsida; Poales; Poaceae.
AAUUUGGUGAGCCUCUCCACUUUGCAGAUUUGCCUCAUCUUGUCUAUUUGAACCUUGGUAACAACCACCUCUUGGGCGGAAUCCCUUCAAGCAUUGGGGCUCUUGCGGAGCUCACAUACUUGGAUCUGUCCGUCAACGACCUGAACGGAUCUAUCCCACCUUCCAUAGGAAAUUGUACAAAACUAUCUUCCCUCGAUCUCUCUUACUACAAUUUGUUUCUACCAUGCCUAGUAAAGUAGGAAGACUAGGGAAUUUGAUGAGCAUCUCCAUUUUGCAGAUUUGCCUAAUCUUGUGUAUUUGAACCUUGGUGAUAACCACGUCUCGGACAAAAUCCCUUCAAGCAUUGGGGCUCUUGCGGAGCUCGCAUACUUGGAUAUGUCCGUCAACGACCUGAACGGAUCUAUCCCACCUUCCAUAGGCAAUUGUACAAAACUAUCUUCCCUCGAUCUCUCUUACU